RNAcentral lists this ribosomal RNA (478 nucleotides) under uncultured bacterium. RNAcentral's name for it is "partial 16S ribosomal RNA". It matches the Rfam family "Bacterial small subunit ribosomal RNA", at positions 28 to 523 of the family's 1533-position model. The record is from RNAcentral.
GACGAACGCUGGCGGCGUGCUUAACACAUGCAAGUCGAACGGAAAGGCCCUGCGGGGUGCACGACUGACGAACGGGUGAGUACCACGUGGGUGAUCUGCCCUGCAGUUCGGGGUAAGCCUGGGAAACUGGGUACAAUACCGGAUAGGACGGCUGCCGGCAUGGGUGGUGGGGGAAAGCCUUUGCGGGGUGGGAUGGGCCCGGGGCCUAACGGCUUGUUGGUGGGGGGAUGGCCUACCAAGGCGACGACGGGUAGCCGGCCUGGGAGGGUGACCGGCCACACUGGGACUGAGAUACGGCCCAGACGCCUACGGGAGGCAGCAGUGGGGAAUAUUGCACAAUGGGCGCAAGCCUGAUGCAGCGACGCCGCGUGAGGGAUGACGGCCUGCGGGUUGUAAACCUCUUUCAGCACCGACGCAGCGCAAGUGACGGUAGGUGCAGAAGAAGGACCGGCCAACUACGUGCCAGCAGCCGCGGUAA